This 218-nucleotide unclassified non-coding RNA is filed under the name Hevea brasiliensis (rubber tree). The record is from RNAcentral. Lineage: Eukaryota; Viridiplantae; Streptophyta; Magnoliopsida; Malpighiales; Euphorbiaceae.
AUUAUCGGAAUGCAUUCCAUGACAUACGAACACUUUGGAAUCAGUGUUGUGGAGUAUAUGGCAGCAGGCGCCAUACCAAUUGGUGGGCCAUUUGUAAUUGAUUUUCAUUUACAUGUAGAUAAUUUCUUUUCUGCUAUUAAAUGCUUAAUGUACCAAUUGAGGAUAAGUUGAGAUAAGGGAGAUUGAGGUGAUUUGGUCUUGUAAAGCGUAGACAUAUA